Molecule: long non-coding RNA, 1495 nt
Filed under: Mus caroli (Ryukyu mouse)
Lineage: Eukaryota; Metazoa; Chordata; Mammalia; Rodentia; Muridae
Description: lncRNA (MGP_CAROLIEiJ_G0005309.1)
Source: RNAcentral
AAUCACUCAGCUGACGGGCAGGCUCCUUAUCGUGGAUGCAGGAGAGGGACCACCAGAAAGGCCCCACCAAAAAGAGGCACAUCUGGGCAGAGAGUGUCAGAACAGAAGAGCUAUGUUGUCCCUUGCACCUUGAAGUGAUGAGCACUGGCAGAUCUCCUGAUCUCAGCUUGGGGCUGCUGAUGGUUCAGGUCCAUUUCAGCGAGAGAGAGCAACAUGCACGGGGUGAACCUCAAAAGAGAAAAUCUGUGAGUCUGAGGUUUUCCUCUGCUACUCCUCAGACUCUGGUGCGUUCUGUUUGUUCAUCUCUCUCUCCUCUCUUGUAGCUGAGACAGGCUGUCUAGACAUUGCAGAUGUGGACAGAUGUUGGGUCUGUAAUUUAUAACAACGGCCUCCAGAAGGCAAUUCCAAUUUGUUUCGAUGUGAGCUUUCUACACUGGGCUCCUGAAACCAUGCCUACUGCUGGUUGCCCAGCUUCCCAUCAUGGUGGACUCUUAUCCUUCUGGAACACAGGCUCAAGGAAACUCUUUGUUCUAUAGGUUGCCUUAGCUAUGGUGUUUUGUCACAGCAACAGAAAGGUAACUAAGACAGAUAGGGAGCUGACCAAGUCUGCGUAAUCACAAGGUUUUCCCAAGGUACAACAUGUUCACAGACAGCUGUAGUAGGAGCUGGAGUGAAGGCCAGGCUGGUACUUUUGCAAUUUCUAGGGGAAGUUUUUCCUAGAGGCUGUUUCCAGUGUGGCACAGUGUAGACCUCCAGGAAAGGUAGACAUGGCGGAGUGUGCUUUGUAACCACGAGCAUCGAGCAAAGAAGCUAGAAACAUAAGUGUGCUCGCCACUGCCCAGGCUGACUCCUGGAUUUGUAAAACUCUGAGCUCUGAGCAUCUCUACCUGUUCCUUGAAGACUUUUGUGAAAGGUCUUCCUUCUUUCUCUGUGCUGGGUGCAUUCGACUCUGAUGCCUUCAGAGGUGAGUGGAUUUCCAUUCCCAGAGAAUGAAAAAAAUGAGCAGAAGCCCUGCCUGAACCUGGAGGCCACUGAGAAGAUGCCUCAGAGCCCCGGGCCGCAGUUAAGGUGACGAGAUGCAGCAAUUCUUUAUGAACAUUUCAUUCCUGCUCGCUACACGACGUAAAUUAGAUGGUGUGUUACAUUCGGGCAAUAAGAGAGAUAUGUCACCACGACGCUGGCCCAUUGGAUGGAGAGGGGGUUUGGCGAAGAGCGGAAAGGAUUUCACCCUGAUGUGCACACUACUGAGUGACCCCCGCUCACCAGCGGCUCCGCUGAUUGCUUUGCACCUUGCAGACUUCGAUACUGGCUCAGCCUCUUGCCGGCCUCGCUCCCUCCGCUCCCUCUGGGUCUCCAGCCCACCCCUCCCCUGCCUGGCUUUCUCUUGAAGCCAAAGCCAAGAGACCUAACAGAGGAGUCACAAAGGUCAUGAAGGGAUGGAUGUCUCUGUGGGGAGGAGUAGGGCGACAGAGCUAACACCAAAAUAAAACAAAAA